RNAcentral lists this ribosomal RNA (468 nucleotides) under uncultured bacterium. RNAcentral's name for it is "partial 16S ribosomal RNA". It matches the Rfam family "Bacterial small subunit ribosomal RNA", at positions 28 to 507 of the family's 1533-position model. The record is from RNAcentral.
GACGAACGCUGGCGGCGUGCUUAACACAUGCAAGUCGAACGGAAAGGCCCUGCUUUUGUGGGGUGCUCGAGUGGCGAACGGGUGAGUAACACGUGAGUAACCUGCCCUUGACUCUGGGAUAACUUCAGGAAACUGGGGCUAAUACCGGAUAGGAGCUCCUGCUGCAUGGUGGGGGUUGGACAGUUUCGGCGGUUGGGGCUGGACUCGCGGCUUAUCAGCUUGUUGGUGGGGUUGUGGCUUACCAAGGCUUUGACGGGUAGCCGGCCUGAGAGGGUGACCGGCCACAUUGGGACUGAGAUACGGCCCAGACGCCUACGGGAGGCAGCAGUGGGGAAUAUUGCACAAUGGGCGGAAGCCUUAUGCAGCAACGCCGCGUGGGGUGUGACGGCCUUCGGGUUGUAAACCGCUUUCGCCUGUGUUGUAGCGUGAGUGACGGUAAUGGGUAAAGAAGCACCGGCUAACUACGUG